RNAcentral lists this long non-coding RNA (657 nucleotides) under Ananas comosus (pineapple). Its description in RNAcentral is "long non-coding RNA (ACOM_LNC037596)". The record is from RNAcentral. Lineage: Eukaryota; Viridiplantae; Streptophyta; Magnoliopsida; Poales; Bromeliaceae.
CGAUGACGAUAUGCCGUUGCCAAUGUAUAAAUGUAAAUGAGAAAAUACUAAAAAAUAGAUAUACUAAAAUAGUAUAAAAGCAUAUUAAAAUCAAAGUACCUCUCCAAAUGUGGCGAAGGCGGCGAAGACGACAACAUGCCGGUGUCGGCGAUGACGAUUUGCUGGUGCCAGCGACGGGGACAAAUGAGAAAGGAUAUUAGUAAAAAAAAUAUUUGACAAUAUUUGAAAAAAAUAUAAGUGAAAAUGAAAAAAGAUAUUCCUUAAAAAAAUAUACUGAUGAUUUGCGCAAUUAAUGUGAGAGAUAAAAAGUCAUGAAGCUGCACACUUAUUAGCAUUUAAAAAUCUUAAAAAGUAAAACAAAGUAUACAAAAGACGAAUUGGGUAGGAAAUUAUAUUAUGACACAUUAAAACUAUGGCAAAGGUGACCGAGAGCGAUGAGGAACGAAUAAAAUAUUACUAAAAUAAUAUAUUUGAAAAAACGUAUAGUGAAAAUGAAAAAUGAUAUACUUUAUUAUUAUAUUUAAGAAACGUAUAUAUAAAGAUGAAAAAGUAUUAAAAUAAGAUAUACUUUAUGUAUGGAUAAGUAUUAUGAUGAGAUAAAAUUGGGUAUGGAUAAGUAUUAAGAUACUUUCUAUAUAAUUAAAAUUUUAAUUUUAA